This 443-nucleotide ribosomal RNA is filed under the name uncultured bacterium. Its description in RNAcentral is "partial 16S ribosomal RNA". It matches the Rfam family "Bacterial small subunit ribosomal RNA", at positions 338 to 795 of the family's 1533-position model. The record is from RNAcentral.
CCUACGGGAGGCAGCAGUGGGGAAUAUUGGGCAAUGGGCGCAAGCCUGACCCAGCAACGCCGCGUGAAGGAUGACGGCUCUAGGGUUGUUAACCUCCUUUUUUAGGGAAGAAGCAUGCGACGCUUCCUGCUGAAUAAGUCAACGCAAACUACGGGGCAGCAGCCGCGUCCAUACGUGGGUGGCAAGCUUUAUCCGGAUUGGCUGGGUGUAAAGGGAGUGUAGGCGGGAGUGGAAGUCAGAUGUGAAAUUUUUGGGCUCAACCAAAGGACUGCAGUUGAAACUGGACUUCUUGAGUGCCGGAGAGGUAAGCGGAAGUCGGGGUGUAGCGGUGAAAUGCGUAGAUAUAAGGAAGAACACCAGUGGCGAAGGCAGCUUACUGGACAGUAACUGACGCUGAGGCGCGAAAGCGUGGGGAGCAAACAGGAUUAGAUACCCCGGUAGUC